Molecule: long non-coding RNA, 409 nt
Organism: Hippocampus comes (tiger tail seahorse)
Lineage: Eukaryota; Metazoa; Chordata; Actinopteri; Syngnathiformes; Syngnathidae
Exons: 3
Source: RefSeq, a predicted model, not a curated record
CCCAUGCCCCCCACCCCUUUAGCUUUGUCAGCUUUCAAAACACCCCGCCCCCGCGUGCUAUCAUUUAUUAAUGGAAACGGAGGAGCGCUGGGGGCCGUUAAUAUCCCUUAAUGUUAAAAGGCGGCGGAAGGAGACGAGGUUUCCUCCCCGUGAGCUCCAACGUGCGGAAGACGGAGCUCCGCCUGGCGUAAGGAGGCUGUUUGUGUGAUGAGAGUGGCAAUAGAGCUGCAUCUCUUUAAAGCUGACGCUGUCUUAAUUAAUGACACCAGCCCAGAAGGAAGGAAGGACAGACAGACACCGAGGAUGCUUCGCAAAGGACAUCGCUGUCGCGUCAUUUCACCGCCACCAGGUUAUCCGGGAUUUAUUUCUGCUAUGCUGUCAAUUUUUUUUUCUCUCCCCCACCCCCCUU